RNAcentral lists this small RNA (4569 nucleotides) under Pan troglodytes (chimpanzee). RNAcentral's name for it is "retained intron". Lineage: Eukaryota; Metazoa; Chordata; Mammalia; Primates; Hominidae. The record is from RNAcentral.
ACUGGGUAUCCCCAAAUCACUCAUUUGGGGGGUCAAGGGACCCGGGCAAUAUAGUAUUCUGCUCAGUGUCUGGAGAUCAUCUACCCAGGCUGGGGCUUCUGGGACAGGCGAGGACCCACGGACGCUGGAAGAGCUGGUCCAGGGGACUGAACUCCCGGCAUCUUUACAGAGCAGAGCAUGAUCACAUUCCUGCCGCUGCUGCUGGGGCUCAGCCUGGGCUGCACAGGAGCAGGUGGCUUCGUGGCCCACGUGGAAAGCUCCUGUCUGUUGGAUGAUGCUGGGACUCCAAAGGAUUUCACAUACUGCAUCUCCUUCAACAAGGAUCUGCUGACCUGCUGGGAUCCAGAGGAGAAUAAGAUGGCCCCUUGCGAAUUUGGGGUGCUGAAUAGCUUGGCGAAUUUCCUCUCACAGCACCUCAACCAACAAGACACCCUGAUGCAGCGCUUGCGCAAUGGGCUUCAGAAUUGUGCCACACACACCCAGCCCUUCUGGGGAUCACUGACCAACAGGACACGUGAGGAGAGAGGGGUGCAGAGGGGCUACCAGGAAGUGCAGUUAGGAGGGCAGGCCAGGGAGGAUCCCACAGUGGCCCAGGGGUUUGAGAUUUGAGCAGCAAAUAAGAGAAAAUGUGUGGAUCUGAAAUGUAGAAAGACGGAGGAUUGAACCUCAAGGGGAACAAGGUGGCUGAUGUGAGUGGAACAGGAGUAAAGAAGGGGAGGUGAGGCUUGAACCGCGAGGAGCCAUGUGGGGAGGUUAUGCAGAGGCUGGGGCAUCUCAGGAUGCAUACCCAAGAUGUUCUUGCCUUCUUAUCCCAGAUUUUGAUGUUCCAGAUCUGAUGUGGGCCCAGGCAUGGGAAUAUUUGGAAUCCCAGGGGAUUCUGACACACGCUUUUUCUCACCCUUAAACUCUUGCAUUGACAAUGGCUUGAAGUUUGUGAAAGUAAACUUGAAGAUCUCCACAGUACAGAACAGUGUGUCUCAAGGGUGGUUUCUGAACCACCUUUCUCAGAAUUGCCUGGAGGAGGUGCUUGUUAAAGAUGCAAGCCCCUUAGUACCACUCCAGAUCUGUUGAAAGAAAGUAUCUGGGGAUACAGCCUAGGAAAUCUGCAUUUUAACAUAAUUUCUUGGAUUUUUAUUUAAGAUUGUGUUUGAAAAAUGUCAAGAUAGAGGCAAGCAAGAGGAUCACCUAGGAGAGUAAAUUACUAAAAGAUGGCAGUAUUAGCAAUCUCAUUAGUUUGACUACAUUCAUUCCAAAUUUAAGAGUGAGUCCUAAGUUAGGCUUGUUUCCUUAAACUAUGUGAGGAGAAAAGGCUUUAACUAGCAAAUUAACGUAUUAAGCAAGAUUUGGAGAAAAAUUCCUUUUCCACCUUAAAAAAACCCAAAGUACAACUCUGGAUUACUCUUAGCUUCCUUAUUUCAAAUACUUUCCAGUUUAUGUACUUGAAAUAAAUACAACGACUUCUAGAACAGCUUGCAGUUCAGAUCUGGCUUUUACUAAUUGUAAUCAAACAUAAUUCUGGAGGAGGAAAGAAAGAAAGGGGCAAUGAAGGAAUGGGAGAGAAGAAAGAGUAAUGCAGGAAUACAUUCUAACAGUUCCCCUUCAAGGGGCAGCAUGGCAGAGGGGGCUGGGGUGGAAAGUGGGUUGCAAAAUCUACGAAGAGUUGCGAUAGGAAAGAAACCAGGUUGAGGAAGCAGCCAGAAUAUCACCCUCCUUCCUAAACAUGUUUUUUUCUCCUAUACAGGGCCACCAUCUGUGCAAGUAGCCAAAACCACUCCUUUUAACACGAGGGAGCCUGUGAUGCUGGCCUGCUAUGUGUGGGGCUUCUAUCCAGCAGAAGUGACCAUCACGUGGAGGAAGAACGGGAAGCUUGUCAUGCCUCACAGCAGUGCGCACAAGACUGCCCAGCCCAAUGGAGACUGGACAUACCAGACCCUCUCCCAUUUAGCCUUAACCCCCUCUUACGGGGACACUUACACCUGUGUGGUAGAGCACAUUGGGGCUCCUGAGCCCAUCCUUCGGGACUGGAGUAAGUGUAUGGCAGAUGGAUGGAAUUAGGGUCAAAGCAGAGAAAAUGAGAUGUGGAUCGAUACAUGGUACAUGGUAGACAGCGAAGUGCUGAAAAUGGGGACUGAGUCUGGAGGAACUUAUGGGGGACUUAGGACCAGAACGGGGAAAUGGGAUAAAGAAAUGGAAAUAUUUAGGUUGGUGCAAAAGUAAUUGCAGUUUUUGCCAUUACUUUCAGUGGCAAAAACCGCAAUUACUUUUGCACCAAUUUAAUAUUUAGUCUGUGCUAUUGUUGCUCUGGUGGUGUGGUUGAUGUUGCUGCGUCUAUGUUUGAGGGUGAGAGGGGAGCGUGCUUGCUUUGAAAUGAGGAUGUAAAUUUGGCAAUCAUAUUUUCAGAACCCCAAAUUGUAAUACACUAUUCUAGCCUCCUUAGAUUUCAACUAUUCCGGUGCCAGAAGCAGAUGGGAGCUGAAGGAAUGAUGAAGGUUGAAGAAGGGGGGCUUUUCUUGGUGUGGGGCAGUACUACAUUUGGCCUGCUCUACCAAGCAUACGGGAGUAGUAAAGCCACGGCUGGCAGACCAUUUGGCAUGCAUGCUCAGGGGCCAGUGGAUAAAGAAUUAAUUACAGUUCAAACACUGUUUGAACUCAGUGUUGGGAGUAGUUAAAGGUAUCGUGAGAAGUUGCACACAGCUUUGGGGACUCUUGGAAAAGAAAGAGGAAGAAAUGAGGAAGAGGAAGGGUGUCUACAAAGGGCCAGAGAACAGGAUCUCAGAUCAGCUGCUGUAACCAGGUUUCCCCUUGUGGGAAGUGUUGUUUCUUGCUGGGCAGUUGGGAAGGGAAUGGAGAACAGAGAAGAGAGUGGAAAUCACAUGCUCACUUGAACUUUCCUGGGGAACGUCUCCUCACAGCGUGCACAAGAACCUCCCUUUAGUAGUGGAGUGUUCAUUUUAUCAUGGGAAAAGAAUCUGAGUGGGACAUGAUACAGAACAGGACCAGCCCAAGGAAGUGCAGGGGCUGUGGAGUGGGAUGGAGACAAGCUCUGAAAGGACACAUGGGAGACCUAGAUGUAGAAGGUACACAAGUAGUAGGAUAACUCACAGGAUGGAUCCACUGGAGGUUAAGACAUGUGGUAAGACAGUGUAAUAGGAAGCUGCUCAGUUGGAGAAAGUAAGGAAGCAAACAUUGUUACCAUGGGGGCAAUGGAGAGGACAGUGAGGAGCCCUUUAUCCUGAUAAGGAUGGCUUUGGGGUAAAGGAAGGAAAGAGGAUGCCUUGAGAGGCCCCACUGUAUUAGAGAGGACCUGGAAGCCAGGAUGCUAAUUCUGGGGAGAUGGGUUCCCCAGGCUUACUCUAGGAGUAGAGGUCCAUGGGACGAGGGUUUGAUUUGAGAAAGAUCAUUUUCUUGGGAGUGGGUGGUGUGAGCUAGACCCUUGGAGCUGGGAUAAAGGACCUUUUAACCCACUGAGAGGUGGCUGCAAUAAAUGGAAUUGCCCUGGGGGUGAGCAACAGGAACUGGGUCAAGUAAGUUUCUAUUUUUUGCAGCACCUGGGCUGUCCCCCAUGCAGACCCUGAAGGUUUCUGUGUCUGCAGUGACUCUGGGCCUGGGCCUCAUCAUCUUCUCUCUUGGUGUGAUCAGCUGGCGGAGAGCUGGCCACUCUAGUGAGUGACUCUCUGAACUCCCAUCCCCACUCUUGGUCCCACUCUCUGCUUACUUUCUGUUUGUGAUUAACUCUCUCCUUCCUACCGCAUUUGCUGUGAACACUGCUAGAUAUUUUCAUCCACAAAGACUGGUAUAAUCAAGUAUCUUCCUCUCUUAGGUUACACUCCUCUUCCUGGGUCCAAUUAUUCAGAAGGUAACAUCUCUGUUGGUCUGUUUCCCUACUUGUCCUUUGGUAGGGGUGCGGGUUAGAGGGGUUAGUGUUGGGUUCAACUAAUCUUGAUUAUUAUAUGGGUGAGCUUCCAUGAGGAUCUAGGCAAGGGCAUGAUUUAAGCUGCCAUUGCUAGGAUUAAGAGCAGGAAGGAGCAUCCUCCUCUUCUACCAAGUGGGAUGUCUGUGGAGAGGAGGCUGAAGGUGCUUCCUUUGUAUUAGUUGUUGGUGCCCUGGAGUUUUCAGUAUCACUGUAUUAAGGCAUGGGAUGGUUACAGUGACAAACGAUGGGGGCAAGUUGGGUUGAAGCCUCAUUAUCUCCCUUUUAUUUAUUCUGUAGGACGGCACAUUUCCUAGAGGCAGAAUCCUACAACUUCCACUCCAAGUGAGAAGGAGAUUCAAACUCAAUGAUGCUACCAUACCUCUCCAACAUCUUCAACCCCCUGACAUUAUCUUGGAUCGUAUGGUUUCUCCAUCCAAUUCUUUGAAUUUCCCAGUCUCCCCUAUGUAAAACUUAGCAACUUGGGGGACCUCAUUCCUGGGACUAUGCUGUAACCAAAUUAUUGUCCAAGGCUAUAUUUCUGGGAUGAAUAUAAUCUGAGGAAGGGAGUUAAAGACCCUCCUGGGGCCCUCAGUGUGCCAUAGAGGACAGCAACUGAUGAUUGUUUCAGAGAAAUAAACUUUGGUGGAAAUAUUGUU